CUGGGGACUGGACUGUUGCAGCUGCUGCUGUGUAAUUCCAGCUGAUGGCGAACUUACUUGGGGUGGUGAUAGCACAGACUGAAGAGGCGAGGCUGUUGCCUGUUGCUGCUGUUGCUGUUGUUGCUGAGGCAGCUCAAGUUGUUGUAGCUGCUGAGACUGAGCUUGCUGCUGAGACAUAGGCUGCUGUAGCUGUUGCUGAUGCUGCAACUGUUGCUGUUGGGGUUGCUGCUGCUGGAGUUGCUGUUGAUUCAUGUAAGGAUUCAUUCCAGGCAUCAGCUUAGGUGGACCCAUGUUACCCAUAGCUCGCUGCAGGUUAGCUCGGUUUAAUGUAUUCGGAUCCAUCAUAGAUAGACCAGCAGAGCUGGGGUGCAUCUGCCUGGCACCUGACACGCCACUCAUCCCGGCUUGGGGAGCACCCAUUCCACCUCCUCGGUUCGCCAACCUAAGAUUUGUAAACACAGCGGCACUCUGUUGUGGUGUUAAAGCACCAGAUCGGAGUUGCUGGCUUAUAACAUUCAAAUUUGACGCUGGAUGAUUCAUUGGGUUCUGCCCCAUGUUAUUGAUGCCAGGAAGAGACAUUGACGAUGUGAUUCCGGUUCCUCCAAGCCCUCUUCCCGCCAUAUUCAUUUGGUUGCCAAAAGCCCCAAGCGCAGCAAUACUGUUGCCCAUGCUUCCCAUUCCCAUAUUCAUGGCUACACCUGACCCCUGUUGCCCCAUCAUCAUCUUCCUCUGAAUCGCCGCGUGGUGCUGUAACAUCUGCAGUUGAUGAGGCGAAUGGUUGUUGGUCAUCUGACCACCCAGCGCCAUGCCAGAGCUCUGGCUCAUCGAGUUGAUCGCUGAUAGAGGAUUUGUAGGCAACAUCAUAGAUGCCGCUCUCUGCAUUUGUGGAUGCUGCUGCUGUGUAAACAUGGACUGUUGAUUUCUCUGUUGUAGCUGUGAUAGCGGAGACUGUUGUGGGUCAUGCUGUUGUGGUUGCAUAGGCAUGGAGACACCAGACAACAGUCCUUGAGACAUUUGCAAAGCCUGAGAAUUUGUCGGAGGGAGCAUCCUUGCAUUUGCAAGAACAUUCUGGGUUGAGUUCAUAGGUGCACUUCCAGCAUUCCCUUGUUUCGAUGCCUCAUUGGGCGCUUGUCCAGUAACUGCAUCCCCAUACUGUUGCAUUUCAUUUGCAGAGUUACCUCUUGGAACACCACCCGCAGAAUUCUGUUGACUGCUGCUUGGCUGUUGCCUGUUGCUGCUGUUGCUGUUGUUGCUGAGGCAGCUCAUGUUGUUGUAGCUGCUGAGACUGAGCUUGCUGCUGAGACAUAGGCUGCUGUAGCUGUUGCUGAUGCUGCAACUGUUGCUGUUGGGGUUGCUGCUGCUGGAGUUGCUGUUGAUUCAUGUAAGGAUUCAUUCCAGGCAUCAGCUUAGGUGGACCCAUGUUACCCAUAGCUCGCUGCAGGUUAGCUCGGUUUAAUGUAUUCGGAUCCAUCAUAGAUAGACCAGCAGAGCUGGGGUGCAUCUGCCUGGCACCUGACACGCCACUCAUCCCGGCUUGGGGAGCACCCAUUACACCUCCUCGGUUCGCCAACCUAAGAUUUGUAAACACAUGUGG
RNAcentral lists this long non-coding RNA (1594 nucleotides) under Brassica napus (rape). RNAcentral describes it as "long non-coding RNA (BNAP_LNC002561)". The record is from RNAcentral. Lineage: Eukaryota; Viridiplantae; Streptophyta; Magnoliopsida; Brassicales; Brassicaceae.